RNAcentral lists this long non-coding RNA (597 nucleotides) under Vitis vinifera (wine grape). RNAcentral's name for it is "long non-coding RNA (VVIN_LNC006086)". The record is from RNAcentral. Lineage: Eukaryota; Viridiplantae; Streptophyta; Magnoliopsida; Vitales; Vitaceae.
UUUGUUAAGGGUGUCUAACAUCAUGAACUACAUGACUUUUAUCAUCGGUAAAACAAAAUAAAGUAGCGAUUAUUACUGUGAUGUUGAUUGAACAUAAAACCAUAAAAGCAUCAGACCCGGAAAAUGGACUGACAACAAUUAACAUGUUUCAGUUUACUUGAAAAAGCUAGACAUCAGCUGCUCAAACAAUUUCCAUGGAAUCAAUCCUUCACCGCCAAAGGCCUAUAGCAAGCACAUCAUGAAAUCAAUAAAAACAGAGGGUUUUGUCCAUGGACCUGUUUCAAAGAGAAAAAAGUAAAAACAACUUCCAGAUUUCCCCUGUCUCAAAGAGAUUAAGAGUAUAUUUGGAACCUAAUCUGCACUUUUGCACUUUUGUAAUGAGCAUCAUGAACCAACAAGAAAACGAUGUGAUGGAAUUAAAUUGACAAGAUUGAAAGCAACCAUGAAAGCUACUGAAAUUACUGAGAGAUGGAUGGCCCCUUUCCAGCUCACCACUGGAAUCCGGAACAACCAAGGACUUACGGACGUACCUGAACCAUAGCUUUGAGCAUUAUGUACUGUAUAACACUAUAACUUAAUGGAGUAAGACUAAUCAUU